AAAUGAAUUGACGGGAGCCCGCACAAGCAGUGGAGUAUGUGGAUUAAUUCGACGCAACGCGAAGAACCUUACCAGAAUUUGACAUCCCAAGAAGUCGGCGUAAUGGCUGAUGUGCCCUUCGGGGAACUUGGAGACAGGUGGUGCAUGGUUGUCGUCAGCUCGUGUCGUGAGAUGUUGGGUUAAGUCCCGCAACGAGCGCAACCCUUACUGUUAGUUGCUACGCAAGAGCACUCUAACAGGACUGCCGUUGACAAAACGGAGGAAGGUGGGGACGACGUCAAAUCAUCAUGCCCCUUACGUUCUGGGCUUCACACGUACUACAAUGGCGUAAACAAAGGGGAGCAAUGUCGCGAGACGGAGCAAAUCCCAAAAUAACGUCCCAGUUCAGAUUGUAGGCUGCAACUCGCCUGCAUGAAGCUGGAAUUGCUAGUAAUCGCGGAUCAGCAUGCCGCGGUGAAUACGUUCCCGGGCUUUGUACACACCGCCCGU
This 489-nucleotide ribosomal RNA is filed under the name uncultured bacterium. Its description in RNAcentral is "bacterial SSU rRNA". It matches the Rfam family "Bacterial small subunit ribosomal RNA", at positions 903 to 1397 of the family's 1533-position model. The record is from RNAcentral.